This 1279-nucleotide long non-coding RNA is filed under the name Phasianus colchicus (ring-necked pheasant). RNAcentral describes it as "lncRNA (ENSPCLG00000003118.1)". Lineage: Eukaryota; Metazoa; Chordata; Aves; Galliformes; Phasianidae. The record is from RNAcentral.
CAUAUAUGAGGAGUUCGUUAUUUGCUUGAUUUUUGCAAUCAGAGGCUGACCGUAGACCAGAUGAUUCCUGUGGCUGCAAGACAACCUAGCCUUCCUGACGGCAGACAGAAGUAUGUGACCAGAGGAGAUUAUAUGUAUUGGAAAAACCACUGAACUGAAGUUUAGAAUUUGUUGGUUGUGAGCUAUGACAAUGCAUCUUGCAUUAAUAAUGCAUCUUAAUGUACAUAUGAGGGGAAAUCUUGAACAAAACCUGCAUGAAGCGUGUAUUCACUACAGUGCUGUGAGUUGCUGGUAGAACAAAGUUGAGAAUCUAAUUUAGCUAGUGAACAGAAAACAGGUAUAACAGAAGAAAAAGCAAGAAAAGGCCACACCUAAUGGUCAGAGUAAGACUUCUUUUCUCAUUGAAAUGUAAAGUUGGAUUCCCAAAUCUUUGUUCCAGAUUUUGGCUCUAUGACAAGUAACUAUAACGAGAAGAAAGAUGAAUGUGACUGCAAUACACAGGCAAAGCUGUGCAUAUCUGAUGCAUAAAAAGAAUUUGGAAUUUUGAGGUCUACUAAAUCAGUUGAGUCUUAUUGCAGUAUGUUUUUCUGGUUCAUUUGGCCAGAGAGCAUGUAUUAAAUCUAUAUGACCAUACACAUAGGCAAAUAUUGAUUUUAUUAGUAAAGAAAUCGAGGAAAAUAUGUAAUGUCCUAGUAUUUGGUUAUCCAGUUCUAAUACACAUUCCUUCUUUACUCAGACUCUACAUGAAUGAAGGUCGCAGUAAAUUCAUGAAGCCCUUCUGCCCACUCUAUAAAAGGCUCUGCAAGUAUUUUCAUCCUUCUGGAUGGUGUUUCCAGUGAACUGAGCACCAGCUAGGAGUCCUGGACACAUCUCUGAAGAAAGGCUGCAGCCAGUGGGCAGCACAGGAUCUCCUCAGUUCACACUUAUCCCUCUCCAAGGAUGUGUUGUAUCACAUAACAGCAGCUUGACUUAAAAGUGUUACCUGGGGUUGGAGAGAGCAUUCCCAACCUCAGCCCAGUUCCACUCUUUUGCUGUGAAGGAGCUGGCAAGGCACUGAGAUGCGCUGUUUCUCUCCAACACCCAAGCAUCAGUGCCUGAAAUAGUGAGACUUCAGAGGUUCUGGAAGUGAGAUCAGAAUGUUUGUGACAGGACUCAGCAUUGUGGUGAGAGUCAGCAGAUCAGGUUGGUGGUUGAACUUCAUAGAAUCAUAGAAUCACAGAAUGGCCUGGGUUGGAACCUGGACCUCGAGGAUCAUCAGCCCCCAACCCCCCACAGGGCC